UGCAUAUCAAAAAAGCGGAGGAAAAGAAACUAACAAGGAUUCCCCUAGUAACUGCGAGUGAAGCGGGAAAAGCUCAAAUUUAAAAUCUGGUGGUCUUUGGCCAUCCGAGUUGUAAUCUAGAGAAGUGUUAUCCGCGCUGGACCGUGUACAAGUCCCCUGGAAUGGGGCGUCAUAGAGGGUGAGAAUCCCGUCUUUGACACGGACUACCAGGGCUUUGUGAUGCACUCUCAAAGAGUCGAGUUGUUUGGGAAUGCAGCUCAAAAUGGGUGGUAAAUUCCAUCUAAAGCUAAAUAUUGGCGAGAGACCGAUAGCGAACAAGUACCGUGAGGGAAAGAUGAAAAGAACUUUGGAAAGAGAGUUAAACAGUACGUGAAAUUGUUGAAAGGGAAACGCUUGAAGUCAGUCGCGUCUGCCAGGGAUCAACCUUACUUUUGUGAGGCGUACUUCCUGGUUGAUGGGUCAGCAUCAGUUUUGGUCGCUGGAYAAAGGUCAGAGAAAUGUGGCACCUUCGGGUGUGUUAUAGUCUUUGAUCAGAUACAGUGGCUGGGACUGAGGAACUCAGCGCCGCAAGGCUGUCUUAGGAUGCUGGCAAAAUGGCUUUAAUCGACCCGUCUUGAAACACGGACCAAAGGAGUC
This 636-nucleotide ribosomal RNA is filed under the name Pleurotus pulmonarius. RNAcentral describes it as "LSU rRNA". It matches the Rfam family "Eukaryotic large subunit ribosomal RNA", at positions 37 to 675 of the family's 3401-position model. Lineage: Eukaryota; Fungi; Basidiomycota; Agaricomycetes; Agaricales; Pleurotaceae. The record is from RNAcentral.